GAUGAACGCUGGCGGCGUGCUUAACACAUGCAAGUCGAACGGAAAGGCCCAAGCUUGCUUGGGUGCUCGAGUGGCGAACGGGUGAGUAACACGUGGGUGAUCUGCCCUGCACUUUGGGAUAAGCCUGGGAAACUGGGUCUAAUACCGGAUAGGACCAUCGUUUAGUGUCGGUGGUGGAAAGUUUUUCGGUGUGGGGUGAGCUCGCGGCCUAUCAGCUUGUUGGUGGGGUAAUGGGCUACCAAGGGGUCGACGGGGAGGCGGCCCGGGAGGGUGUACGGCCACAAUGGGGCUGGGAUACGGCCCAGGCUCCUAAGGGGGGGAGCAGGGGGGAAUAUUGCACAAGGGGCGCGAGGCUGAUGCAGCGACGCCGCGGGGGGGAUGACGGGCUUCGGGUUGGAAACUCCUUUCGCCAAGGACGAAGCGUUUUGUGACGGUACUUGGAGAAGAAGCACCGGCUAACUACGUG
Molecule: ribosomal RNA, 466 nt
Filed under: uncultured bacterium
Lineage: Bacteria
Description: partial 16S ribosomal RNA
Rfam family: Bacterial small subunit ribosomal RNA
Source: RNAcentral